This 359-nucleotide ribosomal RNA is filed under the name Clostridium sp. RNAcentral describes it as "partial 23S ribosomal RNA". It matches the Rfam family "Bacterial large subunit ribosomal RNA", at positions 2567 to 2925 of the family's 2925-position model. The record is from RNAcentral. Lineage: Bacteria; Bacillati; Bacillota; Clostridia; Eubacteriales; Clostridiaceae.
AAGGGUUCGGCUGUUCGCCGAUUAAAGUGGCACGCGAGCUGGGUUCAGAACGUCGUGAGACAGUUCGGUCCCUAUCCAUCGUGGGCGUAGGAUAUUUGAGAGGAUCUGCUCCUAGUACGAGAGGACCAGAGUGGACGCACCUAUGGUGCACCUGUUGUCGCGCCAGCGGCACAGCAGGGUAGCGAUGUGCGGAUGGGAUAAACGCUGAAAGCAUCUAAGCGUGAAACCCACCUCAAGAUUAGAUAUCCCAUAUCAUAAGAUAGUAAGACCCCUUGAAGACUACAAGGUUGAUAGGUCGGAGGUGUAAGCACGGUAACGUGUUCAGCUGACCGAUACUAAUAGGUCGAGGGCUUAAUCAA